ACAUCCCCACCCUAAAAAAUCUCGUUCGGUCUCUUCUCUCCUCUCCCAUCUCUUGCGAGGGCUGCGCACCUCCCACCCUUCACGAGCGCCUCCCACCUCCCAUCCCUCCUCCCGAGCUCACGGCCGCCGCCCUCAAUCGCGUCGCAUCCCAACAUCACCGUCCUCGAUCGCAGGGCGGAGGGGCUGCAGGCUAGCGUAGAGGCGACGACGCGGUGCCAAAGCAUGUGCCAGAAUCGGUGCACGAGCAGCAUCCGGAGACGCUCCGGGCAGAGGAGACCACGGCGAAGGGUGUGGUCACCACUGCUUCGUCGCGGCUGUUGGCGACGUCGGAGCCGAGUCCGCUCCGCCGGUUCUCCGCCGCGAGCCAAAGCGCGGCACUGGAUGUAAGAAGGCCGGGGUGACAGCAAGGAGGCGGUCAGGCACCUCGAUCGGUGGACUACCAUGGACUUUGAGGCCAGCGACGUCGGCAUCGAGAAGGGCAAUGGCAUUGGCCAGAAGAAGCCGAUGGGCAUUGUCUGGCUCUUCUUGGCCUGCAUAGUCUCCAGCGGCAUCCAGUACGGAUGGGCGUGGCAGCUCUCUGUCGUCUCUCCGUACUCUCAGAUCGGCUGCGUCCACGGCAUAGUCGACGCCCCCUCCUCAAACGCGAGCUGUUUGUGGAGUACGACUACGCUGGGGAGGGGCGGCCGCGGUUCGGGCUCAGCCUGGGAUUCCUCGUCGACUGCCUCAACAUCUUCUCCACGCCGAGGAAUGCAUCCGCCGUCGAGAUACAUACUAUCAGUUUGUAGAACUUGUCAUUUUCAAUUUGUAGUUUGGAUACAUACUAUCAGUUUGUAUGUAUGUCGUAUUUGUACAUAACAGAGGAAGAAUAAAACCCAUUUCUAAUUCC
Long non-coding RNA from Phragmites australis (common reed), 886 nucleotides. RefSeq lists it as uncharacterized. NCBI's taxonomy places the organism in Eukaryota, Viridiplantae, Streptophyta, Magnoliopsida, Poales, Poaceae. The transcript is spliced from 4 exons. The record is from RefSeq and is a predicted model, not a curated record.